This is a long non-coding RNA of Mauremys reevesii (Reeves's turtle), 422 nucleotides long. RefSeq lists it as uncharacterized. The record is from RefSeq and is a predicted model, not a curated record. NCBI's taxonomy places the organism in Eukaryota, Metazoa, Chordata, Testudines, Geoemydidae. The transcript has 3 exons.
AUAAGAGGCUGGGCCUUCAGCUUAGCUGGGCUGGAGCCAGUGAAAGAGGCAGACGUCCCUGCCUUGCUGCCAUCUGCCAAAUACCCAGAGGAGCUGCUGGGACUGCCAUCCACCGAAUACCCGAAGAAGAUGGAGGACCCAUGAAUGACGGAUCCCUAUGAACAGACUGGGCCACUCUUGCCAUCUUCUGGCUUAGAUGAACGUUCUCCUCAGCUCAACCCAGCCCUCCUCCUAUUCCUCAUCAGUUCUGUGAAGAUGGGCCACCUCCUGAGAGAGAAGGAGACCUGGGAUCAAAAGAAACCUUAGGACUCCCACCCCUUGGACACAUCUGUGACAUUCUUGAUCUCCAGGAACAUGGCUCCAUGCUGUAACAGAAUGGGGAGCCAUCUGCCCAGCAAGCCUGUCGUCCAUGUUGUUUUCAC